Mus caroli (Ryukyu mouse) is the source of this 747-nucleotide long non-coding RNA. RefSeq lists it as uncharacterized. NCBI's taxonomy places the organism in Eukaryota, Metazoa, Chordata, Mammalia, Rodentia, Muridae. The record is from RefSeq and is a predicted model, not a curated record.
UGCUAUCUCACGUAUGGAUCGGAUGAUGUCAGUCUCCGCUGCACAGAGAGCCUCCACCAAGCUUCCAGUCUCUCACAUCCAUGGUCUUUUACUUUUACAGUUUCGUGUGCAGCCUGUUCUCUACAUGAAAUCGUCGUCCACACGCAUCGUCUGUGCUUUCUUGCUUGGAUCCUCACAGAUAACAGAAUACUUCUAAAGUUCUGCUGUGACAGCAUUUCAUAAGCCUCUGUCCUUUACAGAGGACGGCAUGUACCCAGGGCAAACUACCUCCCACAUGCAAUAAUAGUAGGGUACACAAGGAAACUUGGGUGUACAUACGACAAGAGCGAGCUGGGCUCCCAGAAGCUUUCUCCAAGACAGAAAUGCUCCCCUAACUCAUUCUCUGAAGCUUCAACGCAAGCAUCAGCGCCCUCUGCUGACCAGGAUUCAGAGCACGCCACAGACCGCCCAAAUAGCUUUAAGCUGAACCACCCUUAAGUGUCUUUUGAAGACCCAACUCCCAGCCCCUCUGACUGUGACUGCUUUACGCUAAAAUGAGAUCUUUGGGAUGGGCUCUAAUCUAAUAUGUCUAGUGUCCUUUGACGAUGAAGCAAACAGGCACAGACAGAAGGAAGACAUAGGGAGGCACGCCAUGCACAGUUAGGGAGACACAAAAGAAUCCCACCCAGCCAGGGCCUCCAUUUUGGACCGGACUCCCCAGAGAUAUGAUAAAAUAAUUUCCUGUGGAUUUUCAUUGCAUUUUUAUUU